RNAcentral lists this long non-coding RNA (1822 nucleotides) under Homo sapiens (human). RNAcentral describes it as "HSALNT0358794". Lineage: Eukaryota; Metazoa; Chordata; Mammalia; Primates; Hominidae. The record is from RNAcentral.
UAUACCACUACUUUUUAUAUGUAAAUCCCACAUAAGUAAGCGAUUGUCAUGGAAGCUUUUCUUGACUUUGGCCACACUCUUGCAUCCACAACCAACUUGUGCUACCAAGCGAACAAACUAUGACUAAAGGACUGUUCUUCCACUUUGCAGCUGCUCCUAUCAGUGACAAAUCAGCGUAUUAGAACAUGCAUGCUGGCUGAUCAUUCUGAUCAAGUCAACAAGCUUCACAACUUACUCAAUGAGGUCGUCCGUGAGAACUUCACUGUUUUACGGGGACAGGAGCUACUUCUUUGCUGAACUGCAUCACGGUUUCAACUGCUGAGGUUUUCUUCAAGCUUUUGCAUUGUUUGGAAUGUGAAAGGCACGGCCGAGACACACUUUGAGGUUCCCACUGCAUUGUUACACCUCCCCCCUCACUUCAGGGCCAGGUAACACCAAGAAGGACGCCAUGAGAGCGAAGGCCGGUGGGUCACCGCCCUUUGCUCUCGUGCUGCGCGUCUCCCUGCCAUCAACCGCCGCAACCGGCGCUGGGAGCGGUUGAGGGCGGCCGGCCUCGCGCUGGAACCUCGCCCGCCUCAAGGCUCCUGCGGCGGCACACGGGGCAGGCCAGGAGCCCGCCCUAGGAGGGCCCCGCUGGAGAUGUGGAAAUGGAGGGACGCGGCACCUGGGUGCUUCCUGGGGCCAGACAACGCCCCCUCAUUGGAACCUCCAUGACCGUGCCUCUGAGAAACCAGCGCGUCCGCAACGAUCACUCCUAAUUUUCGGAUUCCUAUCAUCUGUCUCCACGUGAUAACACUGAAGAGCCUUCACGUUGAUGCAGUCCCAGGGCCUCAAGUGCAGAGUCUGAGAGCUCUGCAGGACACAGCAUGGAGCCGCCAUUCCUCUACUGGGUGGAGGAGCAUGUGUCCUCUGAACAGGGGAUCCAAGCCCUGAGAUGUUCUUUCUCAGCUGUCAGUGCGGCCCAGGACUUUCUGUGGGGAUGCUCAGACAGCAGGGGCCGGAGGACUUUUAGCCACCACCUCCCAUGGCCAGUCUUCACAAAUUACCUUUGGCUAAUUUGACUGUCUCUCCUCCUGGGGUCUAGGACUUCAAACAUGUACAGAAGCGAUUGCAGAAUUAAGACAAGACACUUCCACAAUAUAUUUUUUGUAUCACUGGCUCAGAAAAAGACUCAUUCAAAUCCUGUAUCAAAGCCACGUGUGAGAAUCUUGAGAAAGCAUCAGCUGACUGACUUGACAAGGGAGGAAGCAACCAAAAAUUCUGCGCUUCUUCAGUAUCUGAGUAUGAUAUUUUGCUUCAACAUCCCUCUUAGAUGAAGUUAUUGAUUGAAAAUCAUUUAAGUUUGCCCCAUGGUAAAAGAUCAAGUCCUCAGAAAGAUCUCCAAAGUGUUUACGGUUUGUUUUGUUUUGGUAAGUUUACCAUGAUUUUGCUUGAAUUGCUCUCCGUUGAUCUUCUCAGCUAAGAUGGAGGUAGAGUUGCACAGUGGAAGAGGGCUGCAUGUAAGAAGGCAGUUCUGUCUCAGAGGACAAAAGGCCUGGGAGCACCCAGACAGUCACUGCAUGGAGGUCACUCCCCUCCCAGUGGCCACUGUGGAGACAUUUCACAGAAAUGCUUGCUGGACCAUUCAGGUUCAGAGUUGGGACAAAACCGAGAACUCAUGGGGAUAUUGGACAGGAGUUAGGAAAUGACCUUCUCACACAACUGGGGCAGUGGGGGAGAACCCUGGGCUUGAGACUUGCAAUCCACCACUUGCCCCUGCCCCUGCCCCUGCAGUGUGGCCGCUGUUACAUUUUCCUGCAACUCUGCCUUCUUGAGUCCAAAU